This 446-nucleotide ribosomal RNA is filed under the name uncultured bacterium. Its description in RNAcentral is "partial 16S ribosomal RNA". It matches the Rfam family "Bacterial small subunit ribosomal RNA", at positions 338 to 795 of the family's 1533-position model. The record is from RNAcentral.
CCUACGGGUGGCUGCAGUCGAGAAUCAUUCACAAUGGGGGAAACCCUGAUGGUGCGACGCCGCGUGGGGGAAUGAAGGUCUUCGGAUUGUAAACUCUUGUCAUGUGGGAGCAAAUUAACAAGAUAGUACCACAAGAGGAAGAGACGGCUAACUCUGUGCCAGCAGCCGCGGUCAUACAGAGGUCUCAAGCGUUGUUCGGAAUCACUGGGCGUAAAGCGGGCGUAGGCGGUUUCGUAAGUCGUGUGUGAAAUGCGCGGGCUCAACCCGCGGACGGCACCUGAUACUGCGAAACUAGAGGAAUGGAGGGGGAACCGGAAUUCUCGGUGUAGCAGUGAAAUGCGGAGAUAUCGAGAGGAACACUCGGGGCGAAGGCGGGUUCCUGGACAUUAACUGACGCUGAGGCACGAAGGCCAGGGGAGCAAAAGGGAUUAGAUACCCGAGUAGUC